RNAcentral lists this ribosomal RNA (464 nucleotides) under uncultured bacterium. RNAcentral describes it as "partial 16S ribosomal RNA". It matches the Rfam family "Bacterial small subunit ribosomal RNA", at positions 338 to 795 of the family's 1533-position model. The record is from RNAcentral.
CCUACGGGAGGCAGCAGUAGGGAAUUUUCGUCAAUGGGCGCAAGCCUGAACGAGCAAUGCCGCGUGAACGAGGAAGGUCUUCGGAUCGUAAAGUUCUGUUGAUGGGGAAAAAGAGCGGAGAGAGGAAAUGCUUUCUGAUUGAUAUUACCCUUCGAGGAAGUCACGGCUAACUACGUGCCAGCAGCCGCGGUAAUACGUAGGUGGCGAGCGUUAUCCGGAAUGGUUGGGCGUAAAGGGUGCGUGGGCGGCGUGCUAAGUCUGGAGUGAAAGGUACCGGCUCAAGCGGGACAGGCUCUGGAAACUGGCGGGCUAGAGAGCAGGAGAGGGCGGUGGAACGCCAUGUGUAGCGGUAAAAUGCGGAGAUAUAUGGAAGAACACCAGUGGCGAAGGCGGCCGCCUGGCCUAUUACUGACGCUGAGGCACGAAAGCGUGGGGAGCAAAUAGGAUUAGAUACCCCAGUAGUC